ACGUAGGGGCCAAGCGUUGUCCGGAGUUACUGGGCGUAAAGCGUGCGCAGGCGGCUCGUUGCGCCCGACGUGAAAGCCCCCGGCUCAACCGGGGAGGGUCGUCGGGGACGGGCGAGCUUGAGGGUGGCAGGGGCUGGUGGAACUCCCGGUGUAGUGGUGAAAUGCGUAGAGAUCCGGAGGAACACCAGAGGCGAAGGCGACACCCUGGGCCGUACCUGACGCUAAGACGCGACAGCACGGGGAGCGAACGG
RNAcentral lists this ribosomal RNA (251 nucleotides) under uncultured prokaryote. RNAcentral describes it as "partial 16S ribosomal RNA". It matches the Rfam family "Bacterial small subunit ribosomal RNA", at positions 525 to 775 of the family's 1533-position model. The record is from RNAcentral.